GUCUACGGCCAUGCUACCCUGAACAAGCCCAAUCCCAUCUGGUCUGGGAAGCUAAGCAGGGUCGGGACUGGUUAGUACUUGGAUGGGAGACCACUCAGGAAGACCAGGUGGUGUAGGAG
This 119-nucleotide ribosomal RNA is filed under the name Pteropus alecto (black flying fox). The record is from RNAcentral. Lineage: Eukaryota; Metazoa; Chordata; Mammalia; Chiroptera; Pteropodidae.